This 504-nucleotide ribosomal RNA is filed under the name uncultured bacterium. RNAcentral describes it as "partial 16S ribosomal RNA". It matches the Rfam family "Bacterial small subunit ribosomal RNA", at positions 29 to 523 of the family's 1533-position model. The record is from RNAcentral.
AUUGAACGCUGGCGGCAGGCCUAACACAUGCAAGUCGGACGGUAGCACAGAGAGCUUGCUCUCGGGUGACGAGUGGCGGACGGGUGAGUAAUGUCUGGGGAUCUGCCCGAUAGAGGGGGAUAACCACUGGAAACGGUGGCUAAUACCGCAUAACGUCGCAAGACCAAAGAGGGGGACCUUCGGGCCCCUCACUAUCGGAUGAACCCAGAUGGGAUUAGCUAGUAGGCGGGGUAACGGCCCACCUAGGCGACGAUCCCUAGCUGGUCUGAGAGGAUGACCAGCCACACUGGAACUGAGACACGGUCCAGACUCCUACGGGAGGCAGCAGUGGGGAAUAUUGCACAAUGGGCGCAAGCCUGAUGCAGCCAUGCCGCGUGUAUGAAGAAGGCCUUCGGGUUGUAAAGUACUUUCAGCGGGGAGGAAGGCGAUGUGGUUAAUAACCGCAUUGAUUGACGUUACCCGCAGAAGAAGCACCGGCUAACUCCGUGCCAGCAGCCGCGGUAA